This 46-nucleotide non-coding RNA is filed under the name Trichobilharzia regenti. Lineage: Eukaryota; Metazoa; Platyhelminthes; Trematoda; Strigeidida; Schistosomatidae. The record is from RNAcentral.
GUACUGAUAAAGAGUGCCAGACUAGGACGAAACAGCUGUCCAGUAC